RNAcentral lists this ribosomal RNA (242 nucleotides) under uncultured Porphyromonadaceae bacterium. Its description in RNAcentral is "partial 16S ribosomal RNA". It matches the Rfam family "Bacterial small subunit ribosomal RNA", at positions 796 to 1041 of the family's 1533-position model. Lineage: Bacteria; Pseudomonadati; Bacteroidota; Bacteroidia; Bacteroidales; Porphyromonadaceae. The record is from RNAcentral.
CACGCCGUAAACGAUGAAUACUCGCUGUUUGCGAUAUACUGCAAGCGGCCAAGCGAAAGCAUUAAGUAUUCCACCUGGGGAGUACGUUCGCAAGAAUGAAACUCAAAGGAAUUGACGGGGGCCCGCACAAGCGGAGGAACAUGUGGUUUAAUUCGAUGAUACGCGAGGAACCUUACCCGGGUUUGAAAUGCAAUCGACCGAUUAUGAAAGUAGUUUUCCAGCAAUGGCGAUUGUGUAGGUGC